UACCAAGGCGACGAUCUGUAGCUGGUCUGAGAGGACGACCAGCCACACUGGGACUGAGACACGGCCCAGACUCCUACGGGAGGCAGCAGUGGGGAAUUUUGGACAAUGGGCGCAAGCCUGAUCCAGCAAUGCCGCGUGUGUGAAGAAGGCCUUCGGGUUGUAAAGCACUUUUGUCCGGAAAGAAAACCUCUGCCCUAAUACGGCGGGGGGAUGACGGUACCGGAAGAAUAAGCACCGGCUAACUACGUGCCAGCAGCCGCGGUAAUACGUAGGGUGCAAGCGUUAAUCGGAAUUACUGGGCGUAAAGCGUGCGCAGGCGGUUCGCUAAGACAGAUGUGAAAUCCCCGGGCUUAACCUGGGAACUGCAUUUGUGACUGGCGGGCUAGAGUAUGGCAGAGGGGGGUAGAAUUCCACGUGUAGCAGUGAAAUGCGUAGAGAUGUGGAGGAAUACCGAUGGCGAAGGCAG
Molecule: ribosomal RNA, 466 nt
Filed under: Paraburkholderia sp.
Lineage: Bacteria; Pseudomonadati; Pseudomonadota; Betaproteobacteria; Burkholderiales; Burkholderiaceae
Description: bacterial SSU rRNA
Rfam family: Bacterial small subunit ribosomal RNA
Source: RNAcentral